GAUGAACGCUAGCUACAGGCUUAACACAUGCAAGUCGAGGGGAAACGAUAUUGGAAGCUUGCUUCCGAUAGGCGUCGACCGGCGCACGGGUGAGUAACGCGUAUCCAACCUGCCCAUCACUUGGGGAUAACCUUGCGAAAGUAAGACUAAUACCCAAUGACGUCUCUAGAAGACAUCUGAAGGAGAUUAAAGAUUUAUCGGUGAUGGAUGGGGAUGCGUCUGAUUAGCUUGUUGGCGGGGUAACGGCCCACCAAGGCGACGAUCAGUAGGGGUUCUGAGAGGAAGGUCCCCCACAUUGGAACUGAGACACGGUCCAAAACUCCUACGGGAGGCAGCAGUGAGGAAUAUUGGUCAAUGGACGAGAGUCUGAACCAGCCAAGUAGCGUGCAGGAUGACGGCCCUAUGGGUUGUAAACUGCUUUUAUAAGGGAAUAAAGUGAGUCUCGUGAGGCUUUUUGCAUGUACCUUAUGAAUAAGGACCGGCUAAAUUCCGUGCCAGCAG
This 501-nucleotide ribosomal RNA is filed under the name uncultured bacterium. RNAcentral describes it as "bacterial SSU rRNA". It matches the Rfam family "Bacterial small subunit ribosomal RNA", at positions 28 to 514 of the family's 1533-position model. The record is from RNAcentral.